This is a non-coding RNA of Aedes aegypti (yellow fever mosquito), 46 nucleotides long. Lineage: Eukaryota; Metazoa; Arthropoda; Insecta; Diptera; Culicidae. The record is from Rfam.
CAAUCGGCCCUUUGCAGGGCCAUCAAAUGAGUACUAAAGAGAUAGU